RNAcentral lists this ribosomal RNA (503 nucleotides) under uncultured bacterium. RNAcentral's name for it is "partial 16S ribosomal RNA". It matches the Rfam family "Bacterial small subunit ribosomal RNA", at positions 30 to 523 of the family's 1533-position model. The record is from RNAcentral.
AUUGAACGCUGGCGGCAGGCUUAACACAUGCAAGUAGAGCGGUGAGAUGGUGCUUGCACUAUCACGUGGCGGAGGACGGGUGAGUAAUGCUUAGGAAUCUGCCUAUUAGUGGGGGACAACAUCUCGAAAGGGAUGCUAAUACCGCAUACGUCCUACGUGAGAAAGCAGGGGAUCACUUGUGACCUUGCGCUAAUAGAUGAGCAUAAGUCGGAUUAGCUAGUUGGUGGGGUAAAGGCCUACCAAGGCGACGAUCUGUAGCGGGUCUGAGAGGAUGAUCCGCCACACUGGGACUGAGACACGGCCCAGACUCCUACGGGAGGCAGCAGUGGGGAAUAUUGGACAAUGGGGGGAACCCUGAUCCAGCCAUGCCGCGUGUGUGAAGAAGGCCUUAUGGUUGUAAAGCACUUUAAGCGAGGAGGAGGCUCUUUUGGUUAAUACCCAGAAUGAGUGGACGUUACUCGCAGAAUAAGCACCGGCUAACUCUGUGCCAGCCGCCGCAGUAA